Molecule: ribosomal RNA, 629 nt
Filed under: Salmonella enterica
Lineage: Bacteria; Pseudomonadati; Pseudomonadota; Gammaproteobacteria; Enterobacterales; Enterobacteriaceae
Description: partial 23S ribosomal RNA
Rfam family: Bacterial large subunit ribosomal RNA
Source: RNAcentral
ACACAAAACAAGCGGUGAGUGCUUUGGGGUGGGGUGACUGCGUACCUUUUGUAUAAUGGGUCAGCGACUUAUAUUCUGUAGCAAGGUUAACCGAAUAGGGGAGCCGGAGGGAAACCGAGUCUUAAUUGGGCGUUAAGUUGCAGGGUAUAGACCCGAAACCCGGUGAUCUAGCCAUGGGCAGGUUGAAGGUUGGGUAACACUAACUGGAGGACCGAACCGACUAAUGUUGAAAAAUUAGCGGAUGACCUGUGGCUGGGGGUGAAAGGCCAAUCAAACCGGGAGAUAGCUGGUUCUCCCCGAAAGCUAUUUAGGUAGCGCCUCGUGAAUUCAUCUCCGGGGGUAGAGCACUGUUUCGGCUAGGGGGCCAUCCCGGCUUACCAACCCGAUGCAAACUGCGAAUACCGGAGAAUGUUAUCACGGGAGACACACGGCGGGUGCUAACGUCCGUCGUGAAGAGGGAAACAACCCAGACCGCCAGCUAAGGUCCCAAAGUCAUGGUUAAGUGGGAAACGAUGUGGGAAGGCCCAGACAGCCAGGAUGUUGGCUUAGAAGCAGCCAUCAUUUAAAGAAAGCGUAAUAGCUCACUGGUCGAGUCGGCCUGCGCGGAAGAUGUAACGGGGCUAAACCAU